RNAcentral lists this ribosomal RNA (600 nucleotides) under uncultured Alphaproteobacteria bacterium. RNAcentral describes it as "bacterial SSU rRNA". It matches the Rfam family "Bacterial small subunit ribosomal RNA", at positions 99 to 736 of the family's 1533-position model. The record is from RNAcentral. Lineage: Bacteria; Pseudomonadati; Pseudomonadota; Alphaproteobacteria.
CGCACGGGUGCGUAACGCGUGGAAUCUGCCCUUAGGUUCGGAAUAACUCAGGGAAACUUGAGCUAAUACCGGAUGAUGUCUUCGGACCAAAGAUUUAUCGCCUAGGGAUGAGCCCGCGUAGGAUUAGCUUGUUGGUGAGGUAAAGGCUCACCAAGGCGACGAUCCUUAGCUGGUCUGAGAGGAUGAUCAGCCACACUGGGACUGAGACACGGCCCAGACUCCUACGGGAGGCAGCAGUGGGGAAUAUUGGACAAUGGGCGAAAGCCUGAUCCAGCAAUGCCGCGUGAGUGAUGAAGGCCCUAGGGUUGUAAAGCUCUUUUACCCGGGAUGAUAAUGACAGUACCGGGAGAAUAAGCCCCGGCUAACUCCGUGCCAGCAGCCGCGGUAAUACGGAGGGGGCUAGCGUUGUUCGGAAUUACUGGGCGUAAAGCGUACGUAGGCGGUGAUUCAAGUCAGAGGUGAAAGCCCGGAGCUCAACUCCGGAACUGCCUUUGAAACUAGAUCGCUUGAACGUCGGAGAGGUGAGUGGAAUUCCGAGUGUAGAGGUGAAAUUCGUAGAUAUUCGGAAGACACCAGUGGCGAAGGCGGCUCACUGGACGA